This 407-nucleotide ribosomal RNA is filed under the name uncultured bacterium. RNAcentral describes it as "partial 16S ribosomal RNA". It matches the Rfam family "Bacterial small subunit ribosomal RNA", at positions 28 to 526 of the family's 1533-position model. The record is from RNAcentral.
GACGAACGCUGGCGGCGUGCUUAACACAUGCAAGUCGAAGAUAGUGGCGAACGGGUGAGUAAUACGUAGUAACCUGCCCUCCUUUUUGGGAUAAGCCUUGGAAACGGGGUCUAAUACCGAAUAAAGGGGGAUGGGCUCGCGGCCGUUCAGCUUGUUGGGGGGGUGAUGGCCUACCAAGGCGGUGACGGGUAGCCGGCCUGAGAGGAUGAUGAGUCACACUGGAACUGAGACACGGUCCAGACUCCUACGGGAGGCAGCAGUGGGGAAUAGUGGACCAUGGGCGAAAGCAUGAUCCAGCCAUGCCUCGUGUGUGAAGAAGGUCUUCGGAUUGUAAAGCACUUUAAGUUGGGAGGCGUUACCAACAGAAUAAGCACCGGCUAACUUCGAGCCAGCAGCCGCGGUAAUAC